UACGUAGGGUGCGAGCGUUGUCCGGAAUUAUUGGGCGUAAAGGGCUCGUAGGCGGUUUGUCGCGUCGGGAGUGAAAACCUCGGGCUUAACUCGGGGCUUGCUUUCGAUACUGGCAGACUAGAGGUAUGCAGGGGAGAACGGAAUUCCUGGUGUAGCGGUGAAAUGCGCAGAUAUCAGGAGGAACACCGGUGGCGAAGGCGGUUCUCUGGGCAUGAUCUGACGCUGAGGAGCGAAAGCGUGGGGAGCAAACAGG
This 253-nucleotide ribosomal RNA is filed under the name uncultured bacterium. RNAcentral describes it as "partial 16S ribosomal RNA". It matches the Rfam family "Bacterial small subunit ribosomal RNA", at positions 524 to 776 of the family's 1533-position model. The record is from RNAcentral.